This 253-nucleotide ribosomal RNA is filed under the name uncultured bacterium. RNAcentral's name for it is "partial 16S ribosomal RNA". It matches the Rfam family "Bacterial small subunit ribosomal RNA", at positions 524 to 776 of the family's 1533-position model. The record is from RNAcentral.
UACGGGGGGAGCAAGCGUUGUUCGGAUUCACUGGGUUUAAAGGGUGCGUAGGUGGGCAGUUAAGUCAGUGGUGAAAUCUCCGGGCUCAAUCCGGAAACUGCCAUUGAUACUAUCUGUCUUGAAUAUCGUGGAGGUAAGCGGAAUAUGUCAUGUAGCGGUGAAAUGCUUAGAUAUGACAUAGAACACCAAUUGCGAAGGCAGCUUACUACCCGAAUAUUGACACUGAGGCACGAAAGCGUGGGGAGCAAACAGG